AUUCCGGAAAGGAGGUGGUUCGGCAGAUGUACGCAUACCGGACGGAAGAGGUGGCUGCGGGCCAGUAGCCCGUCGCCGUACUCGGUUCGGCGCCGGACCAGCGUGUGUGAGGCACGCGACCGGCCCAAUCCAACGCAGUCGCCCGACCCGCGAGUCGCCGGUACGUCCGGCCGGCCCCUCCUCCGGAGGGCCGGGCUCGCGGGUCGUCUGCG
Molecule: small RNA, 212 nt
Filed under: Streptomyces sp. AVP053U2
Lineage: Bacteria; Bacillati; Actinomycetota; Actinomycetes; Kitasatosporales; Streptomycetaceae
Description: Actinobacteria sRNA Ms_IGR-5
Rfam family: Actinobacteria sRNA Ms_IGR-5
Source: Rfam by way of RNAcentral